RNAcentral lists this transfer RNA (69 nucleotides) under Kaloula sp. Leyte-Samar. RNAcentral's name for it is "tRNA-Asp". It matches the Rfam family "tRNA". Rfam says of the family: Transfer RNA (tRNA) molecules are approximately 80 nucleotides in length. Their secondary structure includes four short double-helical elements and three loops (D, anti-codon, and T loops). Lineage: Eukaryota; Metazoa; Chordata; Amphibia; Anura; Microhylidae. The record is from RNAcentral.
GAGAUGUUAGUUAAACCAUAACAAUGCCUUGUCAAGACACAAUUACAAGUUAAACUCUUGUAUAUCUCC